GACGAACGCUGGCGGCGUGCUUAACACAUGCAAGUCGAACGGAAAGGCCCUGCUUGCAGGGUACUCGAGUGGCGAACGGGUGAGUAACACGUGGGUGAUCUGCCCUGCACUUCGGGAUAAGCCUGGGAAACUGGGUCUAAUACCGGAUAGGAGCCAUUUUUAGUGUGUUGGUUGGAAAGAUUUUUCGGUGUAGGAUGAGCUCGCGGCCUAUUAGCUUGUUGGUGGGGUAAUGGCCUACCAAGGCGGCGACGGGUAGCCGGCCUGAGAGGGUGGACGGCCACAUUGGGACUGAGAUACGGCCCAGACUCCUACGGGAGGCAGCAGUGGGGAAUAUUGCACAAUGGGCGCAAGCCUGAUGCAGCGACGCCUCGUGGGGGAUGACGGCCUUCGGGUUGUAAACUCCUUUCGCUAGGGACGAAGCUUUUUGUGACGGUACCUAGAUAAGAAGCACCGGCUAACUACGUG
Molecule: ribosomal RNA, 465 nt
Filed under: uncultured bacterium
Lineage: Bacteria
Description: partial 16S ribosomal RNA
Rfam family: Bacterial small subunit ribosomal RNA
Source: RNAcentral